UAUAUUAAUUCUGGGAUCUACCAACAAGGUAAGAAUGAAACAUCCAAUGUUAAUAUCGAGCAACUAGCCAUCUAAUUUUCUGGUUACCUAAUAUUAUUGUCUUCUUGAACAUUUAAUUAAGCCUAGAAGUACCAUAACCACAAAAUCAACUUCGCAGCGGAAGUAAAACUAACCUUAAAGAUUUUCCUGGACAUACAACAAAUAAACUAACAUAGAAAUUUAUUUCCACUGAUAUACAGAUUUUAACAAAUAAACCAACACAGCAGUUCAUCUCCACUGAUACACAUCAUUUAUAUAAAUAACCAAAUACAAAAGUUUUCAAAUAAUACACCAGAAAUAAAAGUAGAGCUUCACAUCAGACUUCUAGGGUUUAGCUUUUACUUGCUCUCCUCUGAAAAAUGAAAUUGACAAAGGGCGAGUUGUUAUACUCAAUAAGUAGAAACAUGCACAACAAACAGAACAAUAUUUAUGUUCAAUAUUUUCAAACAUUUAGUUUAGCCUUAAGUUAAGAACAAACACACGAACCUUUGUAUAGAAGCUUGUUAAGCAUUGUUUUGCUUAAAACAAAUUCAAAUUGAAUAGUUCAAACUAAAUUCAAAUUCAGAAAACAUGUAUCAUGUAAAAACACAUUCAAAAACAUAUAACAAGUCAAAACAAAUUGGAACAUAUAUAAUGUCAUGACUUAUCAUAUAGGACGCUUAUGUCAAAUCCUAUCACCUAUACCCACUGUGACUCGGUAUAAAUCAAAUUGUAUAAUUUGUGCAACAGAACAAAAUUUUACUAGUGAAAGUCACCUAUUUCUCCCGAUGACUCGGCCAUAAUAGAACAUAUUAUAUAAGAAAAUAGCUAUCGACAUUGAGCCAAAACAUUUAAAUUAUAUUCAUAUAAAUACAAAUUGGAAUCUCACAUAGUGACCCAUACGUGGCACUUUGCGGCACAUUGGCUAUUGAGAGGUGGCCCCUCUACAGCUCACACUUUUGAAAUGCAAGCUUUUAAUUCAAACUUGUCUAAACUUGAGCAAAGAUUAUUUAACCAUAAAACAUAAUUUGAAGAACAUUUGGAAAACAGAAGAGUUCAUUAUGGAUGGGUAUACUUGAAUCCAAAGCAAAUAUUAACCUUUCACUUACUAAUAAAAAACAUCACCAACACAUCCUAAAAUUGAAACAUAUACUGAUUUAUUAUUAAAUUCAUAUAUAAUAAAUCAUAACCUUAACUGAAAUCCUUAUCACUAACGAAUUACCAAAAUUUUGCACAAUACCAAAAUAUAAUUCACAUGCUUAUAGACCUUAAACAAUUCUAAUAUUUUCCAGAAUAUUGUCUCCACAUGAUUUUAGAAUUUAUUACUUAAGAGAUUAAAAGAUCUAAUUCUAGGACUGUAGUGAACUCAAUCUCCAAUUCUCAGUUUGCUAGUAUCUGAGCCAAAUUUCAUAAAAUGUUUGAAAGGUAAAAUGAACUUCAAAAUUCACAAACUUGAUAUCAUAUCAAAGUCAAGAUGUCUAGUAUGAUAUUCCAAAUUUUAGAAUUUUUUUCCUUAUAUAUUAAGAGUUAUUAAUUUUCAAAUGCUCAAAGGUUAAUUAUAUAUGUCAGAAUCAUCCUUUAGUAAAUAAAGUGGAUUGUCUCAACAAUUUAGUCAAACCAGAAGGUCACCAAAAAUUAUGAAAAUUUACAGAGAGAUUUGUCCAUAUAUGCAUUUAGCUAUAUCCAAAAUUUAGAAUUUUAUUCCUCAAAUAUUCAGAGUUAUGAGUUUUUAAAUACCCAAAGGUUAGUUCUGUCAGGAUGUUUCUUCAACAAACAAUGCGGUUUCUCUCAGCAAUUCAACAACCCAAAAUGUUACAAAUUUUUUUGACAAUUUACAGGGAGACUUUUCCAUAUGUACUUAACUAUACCCAAAAUUCCGAAUUUUAUCCUUCGUAUAACCAAAGCUAUAAAAUUUCCAUUACUUAAAGGUCAAGAAUGACGGCAACCAGACACAGAUUUUCUUUCAACUUCAUUCAAAUUCUAAGUCCCUUAUGCAAUACCAAAAUCCACGAGAAUUAAACUGAUCGUAGUUUAGCUUCUGAUUAACAAAUUUUUAAAAGUUCAAACCCAAAAUACAUCAAUUACAAAAGAAAUCAAAUCAGCAAACAAACCAUAUAAAAAAAUUCGUAGAUAUCCAAAACUAUUAGAAGAAUUCACUUACCGUAAUCAAUGAAAGUAGAAAAUGCUUAAGCUUCUUAAGGGAAUUUGAAGUAUGAAAGUGAAUGGCAUAUCAUCCAGCAAAAAGAAAAGAAAAGGGGAAAAAAAUAAUUUGAGUUUCAUAUAACAGGAAGUUAAUGAUGGUUACAGAAGUGGGGGAAGUUGAGUACAAAUCAGAUAAUGGGAGGUUACUAAACUUCCUUAAUUAAAUUUUAAUUUCACAAAUAAAAUAAAAAUAACAUAAAUUGAAUAAUAUAAAAGUUACUUUUUAAAACUACAUACAAGUAUACAAAAAUAAAAUAUGUGGGUACUACAAAGAAAUUGUUCAUACAUUGGACUUGAAUUUGGUUACAGCCCGACUCUUCCUUUCAAAGUCAACUUGCUUACUAACCAUCUGCUUGAUUUAUUUAGAGCAAGCAAUCAAGCUUUGAUCUAAUAAUGUGAUAUCAUUUCUUUCACUAUUUGAAAGUAGUUCUGCUCACGCCAUUUCUACCAUCGAUUCCAUCCCAUUUGUAGAUAGUUGGUUCAUAUACUUUUCAUUCAUUGGCUGAGUACUUUAUUCUAUGUUUAUCACUGGGAGAAUCAAGUUGAUGAAGUCAAGCUGCUGAAUAAACACAUAAAUUUGCAUUUUUGUGUAGAGUUGUUAUCCCUUGCUUGAUUAUUAAUUGACGAAGGGAUUAAAAUGUGGUAAAAUGUUUUCACCCCACUGUGUUAAAUAGAAUCCAUCUUUUAUAGUUUUCAAAAGCUACACACCAACAG
RNAcentral lists this long non-coding RNA (2934 nucleotides) under Citrus maxima (pomelo). Its description in RNAcentral is "long non-coding RNA (CMAX_LNC003540)". The record is from RNAcentral. Lineage: Eukaryota; Viridiplantae; Streptophyta; Magnoliopsida; Sapindales; Rutaceae.